Molecule: ribosomal RNA, 472 nt
Filed under: uncultured bacterium
Lineage: Bacteria
Description: bacterial SSU rRNA
Rfam family: Bacterial small subunit ribosomal RNA
Source: RNAcentral
UGAGGAAUAUUGGACAAUGGGCGCAAGCCUGAUCCAGCCAUGCCGCGUGUGUGAAGAAGGUCUUCGGAUUGUAAAGCACUUUAAGUUGGGAGAAAGGGCAGUAACCUAAUACGUUGCUGUCUUGACGUUACCGACAGAAUAAGCACCGGCUAACUCUGUGCCAGCAGCCGCGGUAAUACAGAGGGUGCAAGCGUUAAUCGGAAUUACUGGGCGUAAAGCGCGCGUAGGUGGUUUGUUAAGUUGGAUGUGAAAUCCCCGGGCUCAACCUGGGAACUGCAUUCAAAACUGACAAGCUAGAGUAUGGUAGAGGGUGGUGGAAUUUCCUGUGUAGCGGUGAAAUGCGUAGAUAUAGGAAGGAACACCAGUGGCGAAGGCGACCACCUGGACUGAUACUGACACUGAGGUGCGAAAGCGUGGGGAGCAAACAGGAUUAGAUACCCCCGUAGUCCCUGAGCGGGCUGGCAAGGCGCAU